This is a non-coding RNA of Xyrichtys novacula (pearly razorfish), 776 nucleotides long. Lineage: Eukaryota; Metazoa; Chordata; Actinopteri; Labriformes; Labridae. The record is from the annotation of a GenBank genome assembly.
GUCAACAAGAAAACAGUCAGCAAGAAAACAGUCAGCAAGAAAACAGUCAACCAUAAUCAGUCAACAAGAAAACAGUCAACAAGAAAACAGUCAGCAAGAAAAAAGUCAGCAAGAAAACAGUCAACAAGAAAACAGUCAACCAUAAUCAGUCAACAAGAAAACAGUCAACAAGAAAACAGUCAGCAAGAAAAAAGUCAGCAAGAAAACAGUCAACAAGAAAACAGUCAACAAGUAAACAGUCAGCAAGAAAACAGUCAGCAAAAACAGUCAACAAGAAAACAGUCAACCAUAAUCAGUCAACAAGUAAACAGUCAACAAGAAAACAGUCAACAAGAAAACAGUCAACCAUAAACAGUCAACAAGAAAACAGUCAACAAGAAAACAGUCAGCAAGAAAACAGUCAACAAGAAAACAGUCAACCAUAAUCAGUCAACAAGAAAACAGUCAACAAGAAAACAGUCAACAAGAAAACAGUCAACAAGAAAACAGUCAACAAGAAAAUGCUGCUCCCCCGUGUCGUUCAGGAGCCCAAACAAAGUUAGCGUGCUACAAUAUCGGACAGUAGAAACCAACCAGAAAGUUCGGAAAAUUGUCUGAAUCCUCCUUUGGCCACGACUGCCGACACAAGCAAGAAAACAAAGUAAAUACCGGAGACUCUGGAGGAAUAACGGGCGCUUAAAACGGAGGUAGACCGGACAAGAGCUAAAAAGCCGGGUCAACAUAAACCAUGGGGGACGCUUGGGGAUCUUGGUGACCCUGUAACCUUUCUGCUGGAC